Molecule: long non-coding RNA, 1619 nt
Filed under: Monodelphis domestica (gray short-tailed opossum)
Lineage: Eukaryota; Metazoa; Chordata; Mammalia; Didelphimorphia; Didelphidae
Description: lncRNA (ENSMODG00000030129.2)
Source: RNAcentral
GAAACGAGGAGGGAGCUGGGGGCCAGUGAAAUGGUCAACAGAUGAGGUCAUAGUUGAAACUGGACAGAAAGGGAGGGAAAGUAAUUUUGCCAAAGAGGUCAGUAAGAAGUCAGAAGUCAUUGAGUUCAGGAUGGGUCAGUAUCCAGGAAUGGGGGAGGAAGAUAAGAAGAGGCUGGACGGAUAUGAAGCAUGAAUCAAGAAAAGUGAAAAAGGAGGGAAAUGAAGGCAAAGCUAAAAGCUACUAACAGAAUGAGUUCACCCAUGCCCAAUUUAAUUCACGUGAUUUAAAAAAGCAUUUGCUACAAGUAGCUUGGCAUAGUGAAGAGAGAGCUGGUCUCCGAGGUCAGGAAGACCAGAUUCAAGGACUGCCAAAUCCACAUACCUGGGAGCCUGGGGAAGGCACAUAUCUUCUCAAUGUCUUAGACAUCUCUAAGAGCAUGAGUGGCAGAAUUAAGGGCUGGUCUGCAAUGCUAGAGGGAGAUUCUUACUGGGUGACUGACUGCUGCCUAUACCAAUCAAAUCAUGCAUGUCUGGUCAAAAAUGAAAAGGCAUUUGUUAAACAUCUACUGCAUGCUAGAUGCUAAGAAUACAAAAACAAAUGAAACAGCCUCUGCCCAUGAAAAGCUUAGAUUCUGCUGGGGAGGAGGGGGAGAAAGGGAGAAAAUAUACACAGUGUGCCCCAAUCCAUCUGGGGUUCCAGCAGAGGUGUUUCCAUCCUCCCUCACUACCCUUAUGAGGCUGGCUUGCUUUACUUUCUCUCUGAUAACUGCCUUGUCUUGCAUGAGCCUGUUAUCCCUUGGGAUUCAUUUGGAACCUUGCUCAACCUUUAUUGACCAAAUGCUCAAGCAAAACGAGAUUGGAAAUAGCCAUUCCUCUGAAUUGCUAGUCUCUGACCUGUGCUCAGGAAAUAAAGCAGAAAGGCAGAAGAACAGAACAGUCAUCAAAGAAUUGGGUCUACUGAGGCAAAUAACUAUUGCUGCUGCCUGGUACUUUUGGCACUGCUUUGAUUGGGGUAAUGGGAUGGGAAAGGAAGAGAAAUCCCCUCUUCCCACUCCACCCUGCUGGCAGACCAAGGGAAAGAGAGUGGGAUCCCCAAAGAAAGACAGUUAUUUACCUAACUCUUCUUAUGGAAUGCAUGGGGAAAGGAGAAGGAGGAAGGUUCUUUCACAAGAGCUGAUAAUUAAUUAGCUUCAACAAAACUCUCCCCUGGGCACAAGGACUCAUGGGGACUAAUCAAGAGUUGUGUGUGUCCCAAUGGAAUGGAAUGGACUUCUCUACUAGCAGCAAUGCAAUGAUCCAGGACAAUUCUGAGGGACUUAUGGGACAGAACACUAUCCACAUCCAGAGGAAGAACUGUGGGAGUAGAAACACAGAAGAAAAACAACUGCUUGAUCAUAUGGCUCGAUUGGGACAUGAUUGGGGAUGUAGACUCUAAACGAUCACUGUAGUGCAAAUAUCAAUAAUAUGGAAAUAGGUCUAGAUCAAUGACACAUGUAAAACCUAGUGGAAUUGCUAAUUGGCUAUGGGAAGGGGGUGGGAGGAAAGAACAUGAAUCAUGUAACCAUGGGAAAAUAUUCUAAAUUAAUUAAUUAAAUAAAAAAUUUCAAAUUAAAAAAAAG